CCUACGGGUGGCAGCAGUGAGGAAUAUUGGUCAAUGGACGAGAGUCUGAACCAGCCAAGUAGCGUGAAGGAUGACUGCCCUAUGGGUUGUAAACUUCUUUUAUAAAGGAAUAAAACGAGGCACGUGUGCCUUUUUGCAUGUACUUUAUGAAUAAGGAUCGGCUAACUCCGUGCCAGCAGCCGCGGUAAUACGGAGGAUCCGGGCGUUAUCCGGAUUUAUUGGGUUUAAAGGGAGCGUAGAUGGGUUGUUAAGUCAGUUGUGAAAGUUUGCGGCUCAACCGUAAAAUUGCAAUUGAUACUGGCAGUCGUGAGUACAGUUGAGGUAGGCGGAAUUCGUGGUGUAGCGGUGAAAUGCUUAGAUAUCACGAAGAACCCCGAUUGCGAAGGCAGCUUACUAAACUGUGACUGACAUUGAUGCUCGAAAGUGUGGGUAUCAAACAGGAUUAGAUACCCGGGUAGUC
This 460-nucleotide ribosomal RNA is filed under the name uncultured bacterium. Its description in RNAcentral is "partial 16S ribosomal RNA". It matches the Rfam family "Bacterial small subunit ribosomal RNA", at positions 338 to 795 of the family's 1533-position model. The record is from RNAcentral.